Long non-coding RNA from Physeter macrocephalus (sperm whale), 760 nucleotides. RefSeq lists it as uncharacterized. NCBI's taxonomy places the organism in Eukaryota, Metazoa, Chordata, Mammalia, Artiodactyla, Physeteridae. The transcript is spliced from 3 exons. The record is from RefSeq and is a predicted model, not a curated record.
GUUAUGACCAUCUGUAAACCUAUGAAUUGUUUUCUCUUUAUAAAAUGAUUCAGCUCCGAAAGCAGUAGAAUGAGACUGGUCAUUCAGCAAUCUCUCCCACCCACCCUUGCAGACAUCACAUCACAAAGACUAUGACUCACUCUGUCAUACGGUUUCUAUCCUUUUACGAGUUUUAUGAUUGUUGUGAUGAAUACUGGCUCAUAAAUCUGAAUGAAUAUUAGGAUGAAGCUAUUUGUGUCAUUUCCUCACAGCCAAAGCAGAUACUAACAAUGGUACCAGACAGUUCUUAAUCCUAAUGUAUAAAAUGAUUCACAGGUUUUAGGCUUGAGAGAGAGAGAUUUAAGGAUUAAAGUAUAUGAUUCAAGUAUGAAUUCUCAGAUCUGUAUUUUUUAAUUAGCAGGUUAUAACUAGUUCUGGAAUUGGCUAGAAAUGUUAUGUUAUUCGAUAGCUGAAAAGAAAAUCUUCCACAAUAAAAAUUAAUCCUAACAAAUGAUUGUGUUUUACCUUUAUUGCUUCCUUCGAAUAAUGUGAAAGGUGUCGCUGCAGAAGGAACUACAGGGAUGCUACAUUCAAUUUAUCCAUUUUACACGCCUCGUGCUGAAUUUUCCGAAAUUCGGGGGAAAAAAAUAGAAAUGGAUGGGUGAGAGCAGCGUGCCAACUGCCUUGGAUCCUACCGAGCUGGAAUUUAAGGGCACGACUCUGGAAAGCGUUUCAAAGCGGAGAAACUAUUUCCACCCCCAAGAAGCAGAGGAAUCGGAAG